Papaver somniferum (opium poppy) is the source of this 1025-nucleotide long non-coding RNA. RefSeq lists it as uncharacterized. The transcript has 9 exons. The record is from RefSeq and is a predicted model, not a curated record. NCBI's taxonomy places the organism in Eukaryota, Viridiplantae, Streptophyta, Magnoliopsida, Ranunculales, Papaveraceae.
UGUUGGAGGGUGAGAGUGGUGGUUCAUCACCGUCUGUGUCAAUGAUGAAGAAGAAGCUUGGUGUUACAAAUCCAAUUUCAAUUGCUGGUCCGACUGAAUCUGAUAAGCUUAGAAUUGGAGAAGGGGAUUAGAGAGCUCAUACUACGACAGAAUGGGUUAGUUCUCUGUUAUCAGCAAAACGCACACCAAGUGCUUGUGUAAAGGCCUGAACAAGGGUUCAUAUGGAGAUCAGGAGUAUGCAGGGAUUUGGUUGAAUCCUGUACACCUUUAGAUCUACUCUUGUGACACAUCAGGAAUCUUUGGAGGCCAAGGUUAACGAAACCAAGGCAAUGGUUAAGUUUCAAUUAAAGACAAAUGAAGUUUUUUGGCUCAAUGUUGUGAAGACAAAUGAAGUUUUGAUGGAGUAGAUCACAGAGCGUGACGAAGGUGCUCUCAAGUAUUUGAAAGAUAUCAAUUGGUGCAGGAUUGAAGAGCUCAAGGGGCUCGAGCUUCAAGUCUUUUUUUUAGCUGCUCCUCCAGCUCUUCAGAAGCUAAGAGAGAACUUUCCUAGGCUUCAUGUGUACACUGGGACAAUCGACCCCACAAUAAAUGAGAAGAAGUUUAUAAUUCCUAGAUUUGGAGAUGCAGGAGACCGUAGAUUUGGAACAUAAAACAAUUGUAGAAAUGAGACGAGAGUGCAGAUUGAAAGGGCACAAUUAUGCCUUUUUAGGUGUUGCAGAAUGAUUUAGACAUCUUGCGGUCGUAGGUUGGUUUGUAGGUUGGCUUAAUUGAUAGUGAUCCUUAAACUUUGCAGUUUCAACCUAACAAUGAAAAGUUUCUCAAAGAUCCUAUAUGUGUUAAUUACCAAGUAUCCUCCAACCGCAUCUAUCCAUCUGGGCAAAAAGAAGACUACAAGUUGUGGAGAUUCUGGAUUUGCUGGUUUCUUUACACUUGAAUGAUGAAUGAUAAAUGAUGGCAGUAUGAAUCUCUUAUUAUGAGCUUGGUGCUACAAAGUCGAAGGAGUGUUCAUCUUUAGUUUCAAAAUU